RNAcentral lists this ribosomal RNA (561 nucleotides) under uncultured archaeon. Its description in RNAcentral is "bacterial SSU rRNA". It matches the Rfam family "Archaeal small subunit ribosomal RNA", at positions 333 to 900 of the family's 1478-position model. The record is from RNAcentral.
CACCAGGCGCGAAAACUCUACAAUGCAGGCAACUGCGAUAGGGGAACAUCGAGUGAUCCUCAUAUUGGGGGUCUGUCCACUCGCCUAAAAAGCGGGUGUUAGCAAGGGCCGGGCAAGACCGGUGCCAGCCGCCGCGGUAAUACCGGCGGCUCGAGUGGUGGCCGAUAUUAUUGAGUCUAAAGGGUCCGUAGCCGGCUUUGCAAGUCUCUCGGGAAAUCCAGCGGCUUAACCGUUGGUCGUCCGGGGGGUACUACAUUGCUUGGGACUGGGAGAGGUAGGAGGUACUCAGGGGGUAGGAGUGAAAUCCUGUAAUCCUUUGGGGACCACCGGUGGCGAAGGCGUCCUACCAGAACAGGUCCGACGGUGAGGGACGAAAGCUAGGGGCACGAACCGGAUUAGAUACCCGGGUAGUCCUAGCCGUAAACGAUGCUCGCUAGGUGUCACAACAGUCGUGAACUGUUGUGGUGCCGUAGGGAAGCCGUGAAGCGAGCCACUUGGGAAGUACGACCGCAAGGUUGAAACUUAAAGGAAUUGGCGGGGGAGCACAAGGGCGAUUCGCGG